Non-coding RNA from Balearica regulorum gibbericeps (East African grey crowned-crane), 650 nucleotides. The record is from RefSeq and is a predicted model, not a curated record. NCBI's taxonomy places the organism in Eukaryota, Metazoa, Chordata, Aves, Gruiformes, Gruidae.
AGAGUUUGCAAUGGCAAUGCUCUGGAAAUUCAUGAGAGUGGCUAAGUAUUCUAAAGCGGCUUUAUCACCAAAAGUAAAGGUAAGAGGAAUUCCUACCCAUUCAAGGCAUUCUUCAUCCAAGUCUGUACCUUCAGAUUUUGCUGCCAACACACCCUGCUCAAAUACUGUGGAACUACUUGGUAGAGCUUAUCCUCAAGAUGAGUACAGCAAUGUCACAGAGAAGAUUCUUUCCAAGGUGGGGAAGAACUUACACAACAAAAAGCAUCACCCUUUGUGGCUAAUCAAGGAGCAGGUGAAGGACCACUUUUACAAACAAUAUAUUGGACGCCGUGGGACUCCGCUCUUUUCUGUCUAUGACGGUCUUUCUCCAGUAGUUACAGUACAGCAGAACUUUGAUAGUUUGCUUAUCCCGCAAAACCAUGCUAGCAGAAGGAAAGAGGAUAACUAUUACUUGAAUCGUGAUCACAUGCUAAGAGCACAUACAUCAGCUCAUCAGUGGGACUUGAUACACUCCGGCCUAGAUGCCUUUCUGGCAGUGGGAGAUGUCUACCGCCGUGAUACAAUUGAUAACACCCACUACCCAGUCUUCCAUCAGAUGGAAGGAGUUCGGCUCUUCUCCUGUCAUGAGGUAGGAAUUCUCUAGUUGGGGU